RNAcentral lists this long non-coding RNA (1403 nucleotides) under Olea europaea (common olive). Its description in RNAcentral is "long non-coding RNA (OEUR_LNC013306)". Lineage: Eukaryota; Viridiplantae; Streptophyta; Magnoliopsida; Lamiales; Oleaceae. The record is from RNAcentral.
UAUCGGAUCAGGCUUCAGAAUUUUGGCCUGGAAUUGCCAUUCAUUUAUUGCUUUUAAGCAUAUCCAAACAUGCUCUUGACAUUUGAAAACUGGCAUGCACAAAACCUUGCAGCAAAACCAAUAUCUAGAAUCGAACAAAACUGUCUCAAUUCCAACUCCAAAUCAAAAAACUGACCCAUGAACUCAAUCAAAGAUUAGAAGGGGGGGAAAAAAACUCUCUAAUGCUACGACAGAAAGAGCAUUCAUGCAUGUCAAAAUCAUGAAGAACAAUUGUAAAAAACCCUUGAAACCGAUCUAAAUAUACACUGAAAUGACUAAGGUUUUCCGGACAAUUUCACUGAAUGACGGUUCUAGAGGAUAUUUUCUGCGACCCAUGACCCAAAAAGAUAAUACAACCUGUCAAAGGGCAAGAUUCAGGAAAGCAGGUUCCAAGCCCUUACUUUCCACCCAAGGAAGGGAACUGCCCAACAUCUUCAAUAGCUGGGGCUUGCAUGUUGUUCCUAUUGCUUCCACCAUAUCCUCCUCUACCACGUCCCCUGCCUCGGCCACGGCCGCUGGAUUGGUAGUUCUCCCCCUCAGCCAGCUUAAGAAACUCAUUUAUACUUACGGCCUGCACAAGAACAAAAACCAAUUUGUUAAAGCGUUAGAGUUGCAUUGGGUUAAAGGUUGUAACAGCUGUCCACAAGAGGCCAAAGAUUUUUAAUUAGUUAAGGAGACCGUCUCUCCUACCAACACAUUUGACAAAUAAGCCCCUGAAUCACAGCCAUUUUUUCUCAAAAAAAUAUGUUUUGAAUAGUGAUUAUUAAGAGAAUGUGUAGUUAAAAAGUAAGAAAAAGUUUUGAGUUUAUAUGCAGAAUAUAUUAUUGUGUGAAUGUGUAAUUGAAAAUGAGUACGUAGGAAAAAGAGUUUUCAAAUAAUGGUUGUCAAAUAGGAGCUAAAUUAGAUGUAGAUCUAGUUUAAUAGAACUAGACCGUUACAUUAAUACUUAAGCUACAGGCACGAUUAUUUGUCAAAUUCAUUGAUAGGAAGAACGGUCCCAUCAUAUAAAAAUACACGCCAUAAAUAACUAACGAGCAUAAGUUUUCGUCCAUAUAAAACCAAAAGGCGCAUCAAUAACUUAACAUUGAAGUUCUAUGGUCAGUAAUAUGGUCAAAAAUCAAGUCUAAGCAUAAUAUUUUUCUUUCUUUAUAAAUUAAAAGCCAACUGUUGAACUGUGGAUGGGAAAUUUUAGCAGGUUCCAAGCCCUUACUUUCCACCCAAGGAAGGGAACUGCCCAACAUCUUCAAUAGCUGGGGCUUGCAUGUUGUUCCUAUUGCUUCCACCAUAUCCUCCUCUACCACGUCCCCUGCCUCGGCCACGGCCACUGGAUUGGUAGUUCUCCCCCUCAGCCAGCUUAAGAAACU